AGUGAACGCUGGCGGUAGGCCUAACACAUGCAAGUCGAACGGCAGCACAGUAAGAGCUUGCUCUUACGGGUGGCGAGUGGCGGACGGGUGAGGAAUACAUCGGAAUCUACUUUUUCGUGGGGGAUAACGUAGGGAAACUUACGCUAAUACCGCAUACGACCUACGGGUGAAAGCAGGGGAUCUUCGGACCUUGCGCGAUUGAAUGAGCCGAUGUCGGAUUAGCUAGUUGGCGGGGUAAAGGCCCACCAAGGCGACAAUCCGUAGCUGGUCUGAGAGGAUGAUCAGCCAAACUGGAACUGAGACACGGUCCAGACUCCUACGGGAGGCAGCAGUGGGGAAUAUUGGACAAUGGGCGUAAGCCUGAUCCAGCCAUACCGCGUGGGUGAAGAAGGCCUUCGGGUUGUAAAGCCCUUUUGUUGGGAAAGAAAAGCAGCAGGUUAAUACCCCGCUGUUCUGACGGUACCCAAAGAAUAAGCACCGGCUAACUUCGUG
This 492-nucleotide ribosomal RNA is filed under the name uncultured bacterium. RNAcentral's name for it is "partial 16S ribosomal RNA". It matches the Rfam family "Bacterial small subunit ribosomal RNA", at positions 29 to 507 of the family's 1533-position model. The record is from RNAcentral.